This 305-nucleotide ribosomal RNA is filed under the name uncultured bacterium. RNAcentral's name for it is "bacterial SSU rRNA". It matches the Rfam family "Bacterial small subunit ribosomal RNA", at positions 333 to 657 of the family's 1533-position model. The record is from RNAcentral.
UAACCUACGGGAGGCAGCAGUAGGGAAUCUUCCACAAUGGACGAAAGUCUGAUGGAGCAACGCCGCGUGAGUGAAGAGGUAUUUCGGUAUGUAAAGCUCUAUCAGCAGGGAAGAAAAUGACGGUACCUGACUAAGAAGCCCCGGCUAACUACGUGCCAGCAGCCGCGGUAAUACGUAGGGGGCAAGCGUUAUCCGGAUUUACUGGGUGUAAAGGGAGCGUAGACGGCAGAGCAAGUCUGAAGUGAAAGCCCGCGGCCCAACUGCGGGACUGCUUUGGAAACUGCCCGGCUAGAGUGCUGGAGAGG